GCAUACUUGAAGCUGCCUGCUCGGGCUCCUAAGUACAGAUCUGCAAGAAACCACGCUGAAUUUGUCUGUCGAAUGAAGGAAUAUAUGCCAAGAUCAAUUUUCAUAGAGAGAACCAUGAAGGCUCUUGAAUCCCAUUUCUCAGUGAAACCGGUAAACUUGGAUGCAGUUGUUGGAUCUCACUCAUCAGGAUAUGUUCACUCCACCCGGCUUCUCUCAAAGCAUGAACUCAAGGAUGCUGUGACGACUUUGCUAGAGAGCAGAGCUCUCAGUGGUUAAAUCUUUUGCGCCGAAACAAAAUUUCAUUUGCUGGGAACUGG
RNAcentral lists this unclassified non-coding RNA (317 nucleotides) under Hevea brasiliensis (rubber tree). The record is from RNAcentral. Lineage: Eukaryota; Viridiplantae; Streptophyta; Magnoliopsida; Malpighiales; Euphorbiaceae.